AGAGUUUGAUCCUGGCUCAGGAUGAACGCUAGCGGCAGGCUUAAUACAUGCAAGUCGAGGGGCAGCAGUCCCGCAGCAAUGCGGGAGCUGGCGACCGGCAAACGGGUGCGGAACACGUACACAACCUUCCUUUAAGUGGGGAAUAGCCCGGGGAAACCCGGAUUAAUACCCCGUAACAUAAUGAAGUGGCAUCACUUUAUUAUUAUAGCUCCGGCGCUUUAAGAUGGGUGUGCGACUGAUUAGGCAGUUGGCGGGGUAACGGCCCACCAAACCUACGAUCAGUAACUGGUGUGAGAGCACGACCAGUCACACGGGCACUGAGACACGGGCCCGACUCCUACGGGAGGCAGCAGUAAGGAAUAUUGGUCAAUGGACGCAAGUCUGAACCAGCCAUGCCGCGUGGAGGAUGAAGGUCCUCUGGAUUGUAAACUUCUUUUAUCUGGGAAGAAAUCCAUGAAUUCUUUCGUGGUUGACGGUACCAGAUGAAUAAGCACCGGCUAACUCCGUGCCAGCAGCCGCAGUAAUACGGAGGGUGCAAGCGUUAUCCGGAUUCACUGGGUUUAAAGGGUGCGUAGGUGGAUUGGUAAGUCAGUGGUGAAAUCUCCAGGCUUAACUUGGAAACUGCCAUUGAUACUAUCAAUCUUGAAUGCCGUGGAGGUCAGCGGAAUAUGUCAUGUAGCGGUGAAAUGCUUAGAUAUGACAUAGAACACCAAUUGCGAAGGCAGCUGGCUACACGAAUAUUGACACUGAUGCGCGAAAGCGUGGGGAUCAAACAGGAUUAGAUACCCUGGUAGUCC
This 797-nucleotide ribosomal RNA is filed under the name uncultured bacterium. RNAcentral's name for it is "bacterial SSU rRNA". It matches the Rfam family "Bacterial small subunit ribosomal RNA", at positions 8 to 796 of the family's 1533-position model. The record is from RNAcentral.